Molecule: ribosomal RNA, 250 nt
Filed under: uncultured bacterium
Lineage: Bacteria
Description: partial 16S ribosomal RNA
Rfam family: Bacterial small subunit ribosomal RNA
Source: RNAcentral
ACGUAGGAUGCGAGCGUUGUCCGGAUUCACUGGGUGUAAAGGGAGCGCAGGCGGAUUGGUAAGUCGGUUGUGAAAUCCUCAGGCUCAACCUGGGAACUGCAACCGAUACUGUCAAUCUUGAGUGUGGGAGAGGCCGAUGGAAUUCCUGGUGUAGCGGUGAAAUGCGUAGAUAUCAGGAAGAACACCGAUGGCGAAGGCAGUCGGCUGGCCCAUUACUGACGCUCAUGCUCGAAAGCGUGGGGAUCAAACA